GGGUUCACGUUAGUUAACUUGAAUCAAAGUCAAGUUCUUUCAUGAGAGAUCCGUUCAUAUUGGCAUCUCUGGCUAAGCAAGUCUUUUACUCGAAGGAGAAUGAUCAAACUGGUUGGUGUGUUUUACUAAAAGGUCCUUCCAGAAGAUAUAGCGAGGAAGUUGAAAAAGAUGGAAACACAUAUAUAGGACCAAUGCCAUCAAUAAUUCCAAUGGAUAUUGAGUUAGAGGAAGAAGAAAAUGCUCAAAAUGCGCGAACUAAUUGUGAAGGCAUAUAUGUGUGUUAUGUUUUAUGUGCGUUUGUGUGUUGAUAUGCUUAUGUUAGGUGAAUCACAAUAGGGAAUAAAAAGACAACAAAGACGACUAAGAAGUCCAAGAAAUCAAAGAAGAAACUUGUUGAUGAAGAUGAGCCGGAAUUUAUGUGUACUGUGUACCCUGAUCAAACUGCAGCCGAUGAUGUAGAAAGAGUGAAUGAAACAGGAGAGAAUGAGGAAGAAAUAGCGGCUGAUGCAAGAGAGAGUGAUGAAGUGAAUGCAUAAAAGGAGAAUGAGGAAGAAAGAGUGGCUGAACAAAGAGAGACUGAGGAAGGAAGGCAAAAUGAAGAAGGUGUUCAAGAUGAUGAGCCUCUUGGUUAUGUUGAAAUGUCAGAAGAGAAACAAGAUCAACAAAGAUGAAUAAUGUAACUAAAUAUCCAAAUGUCUGUGAAAUAUUUGAAUUCAAUGGCAUGGGAGAGGCUAUAGGUCCUGGCUCAGUAAAGCUGUCCUCUUAUCUAGGUCAAUUAGUGCGGGAACAUGUUCCUGUCACCAUUGAUGACUGAAAGAAAAUCACUGACGAACUGAGAGCAGUUUUGUGGAAAUCUGUAUAGGCUAGAUUUGACCUCGAUGAAGAGUUCCAGAAGAAUCCUGUGAUGGGGCAAAUGGGAUGCCUCUGGAAUUCCUCCAAAUCAAGACUAGUCUCCUAGAUAAGAUCCAAAUCUACUAACCAAGACCGAAUGAAUCUGAGACCUAAGAAUGUUUCACCACGAGAAUGGCGUAAGUUUGUGAAGCUCAAGACUAGAUUAGAAUUUGCAGGUAUAAGUGAAUCUUACAAAGAGAGACGGCGAAGACAAAUACCACACACUUGUAGCCGCAAAGGAAUGGCCAGGCUGGCAUAAGAGUUGACACAACAAAGUUCCGAACCAUCUCAAGUGAGUAGGCUAAAGGUCUGGGUCCAGUCACAUAGUAAAAAGGAUGGUACUCCAGUCAACACAAAAGCAGCUGAAAAAUAUGUUAAGUAUUUAAUGUUGUUCUUCAUUUUCUGGUCUAUAUUCUCAUUUACCAUAUGCAUGUUUGUAAUGUAUGAAGAAGAAAGCAGCUGAGUUGGUUGAUAAUGCUGGUUCAUCAACUUCAACAAACCCACGAGAUGACCCCUUUUCACAGCUAUAAGGACCUGAUAAUCUAGGUCGUCUAAGGGCAAUGGGAA
Capsella rubella is the source of this 1458-nucleotide long non-coding RNA. RefSeq lists it as uncharacterized. The transcript has 4 exons. The record is from RefSeq and is a predicted model, not a curated record. NCBI's taxonomy places the organism in Eukaryota, Viridiplantae, Streptophyta, Magnoliopsida, Brassicales, Brassicaceae.